RNAcentral lists this ribosomal RNA (416 nucleotides) under uncultured bacterium. RNAcentral describes it as "bacterial SSU rRNA". It matches the Rfam family "Bacterial small subunit ribosomal RNA", at positions 76 to 509 of the family's 1533-position model. The record is from RNAcentral.
UUUAUAACAAUGGCUUUAGUGGCGGACUGGUGAGUAACACGUAAGCAACCUGCCUAUCAGAGGGGAACAACAGUUAGAAAUGACUGCUAAUACCGCAUAUGCCUUGAAUAUCACAUGAUAUAAGAGGGAAAGGAGCAAUCCGCUGAUAGAUGGGCUUGCGUCUGAUUAGAUAGUUGGUGGGGUAACGGCCUACCAAGUCGACGAUCAGUAGCCGGACUGAGAGGUUGAACGGCCACAUUGGGACUGAGAUACGGCCCAGACUCCUACGGGAGGCAGCAGUCGGGAAUAUUGCGCAAUGGAGGAAACUCUGACGCAGUGACGCCGCGUGCAGGAAGAAGGUUUUCGGAUUGUAAACUGCUUUAGACAGGGAAGAAAAAGACAGUACCUGUAGAAUAAGCUCCGGCUAACUACGUGCC